GAUGAACGCUGGCGGCGUGCCUAACACAUGCAAGUCGAGCGAUUCUCUUCGGAGAAGAGCGGCGGACGGGUGAGUAACGCGUGGGUAACCUGCCCUGUACACACGGAUAACAUACCGAAAGGUAUGCUAAUACGAGAUAAUAUGCUUUUAUCGCAUGGUAGAAGUAUCAAAGCUUUUGCGGUACAGGAUGGACCCGCGUCUGGUUAGCUAGUUGGUAAGGUAACGGCUUACCAAGGCGACGAUAAGUAGCCGACCUGAGAGGGUGAUCGGCCACAUUGGAACUGAGACACGGUCCAAACUCCUACGGGAGGCAGCAGUGGGGAAUAUUGCACAAUGGGCGAAAGCCUGAUGCAGCAACGCCGCGUGAGCGAUGAAGGCCUUCGGGUCGUAAAGCUCUGUCCUCAAGGAAGAUAAUGACGGUACUUGAGGAGGAAGCCCCGGCUAACUACGUGCCAGCAGCCGCAGUAA
RNAcentral lists this ribosomal RNA (468 nucleotides) under uncultured bacterium. RNAcentral describes it as "partial 16S ribosomal RNA". It matches the Rfam family "Bacterial small subunit ribosomal RNA", at positions 28 to 523 of the family's 1533-position model. The record is from RNAcentral.